CAUUCUAGUACACCCUACUGCUAUUCCAUCGGCGCUGGGCCGGCCUCCACCUUUCUCCGAGACAUGCAGCCGAUUCUCGCUCCUGUUGGAGAGCGCUAUCCCGGCGCACUGCACGGAGCUCGUGAGAAGGAAGGAAGGUGAUAGCAAGAGAAGCUGGCGAGGGUCGCGUUUGUUCCCGGAAAGAAAAGCAACGUCGUAUACAUGCAUUGGUGCUUGCCAUCAAGGCCUACACUCAGUGGAAGCUGCCUGGAGCCGAGCAGAAAACAAGAGCUUGUGGCACUUUUUGCACUGUCGCCACAAAAUGUACGAAGGUUGUAGUGUUAGUUUGGAUGAUGAGCAUGCAGCCGUAGUUUAACGUUCACCAUUAAACACCAUUUACUGUUUUC
Molecule: long non-coding RNA, 386 nt
Organism: Dermacentor andersoni
Lineage: Eukaryota; Metazoa; Arthropoda; Arachnida; Ixodida; Ixodidae
Source: RefSeq, a predicted model, not a curated record